GAUGAACGCUGGCGGCGUGCCUAAUACAUGCAAGUCGAGCGAACAGACGAGGAGCUUGCUCCUCUGACGUUAGCGGCGGACGGGUGAGUAACACGUGGAUAACCUACCUAUAAGACUGGGAUAACUUCGGGAAACCGGAGCUAAUACCGGAUAAUAUAUUGAACCGCAUGGUUCAAUAGUGAAAGACGGUUUUGCUGUCACUUAUAGAUGGAUCCGCGCCGCAUUAGCUAGUUGGUAAGGUAACGGCUUACCAAGGCGACGAUGCGUAGCCGACCUGAGAGGGUUAUCGGCCACACUGUAACUGAGACACGUUCCAGACUCCUUCGUGAGGCAGCAGUAGGGAAUCUUCCGCAAUGGGCGAAAGCCUGACGGAUCAACGCCGCGUGAGUGAUGAAGGUCUUCGGAUCGUAAAACUCUGUUAUUAGGGAAGAACAAAUGUGUAAGUAACUAUGCACGUCUUGACGGUACCUAAUCAGAAAGCCACGGCUAACUACGUG
RNAcentral lists this ribosomal RNA (497 nucleotides) under uncultured bacterium. RNAcentral's name for it is "partial 16S ribosomal RNA". It matches the Rfam family "Bacterial small subunit ribosomal RNA", at positions 28 to 507 of the family's 1533-position model. The record is from RNAcentral.